UUUGAUCACGACCAGAGAUGUUCCUGAACCAUCUGGCUCAUUUCCACGAGCAGAGGGCACAGAUGUCGACCAUCUUACCAUUGUUCUGAGGACAUUAGCAUCCCUCACCACCCCCAGCAUUUGUGCAUCCUGUUCUGGAGGAUCAGUAGGAGUUCAGGUAAGUCAGUGAGCAAUUGACACCUCAGGGGAACUCUCGGGCACUUCCCAGUCCCUUGACGGACUCCUCGUUUUCUCAGGGAGGGGCAGAAUCAGUCCCCAGGAUGUGAUCUUCCCUCUCCCCCUUCUCCUUUCCUCGCUGUACCUUUCAAUUAAA
RNAcentral lists this long non-coding RNA (313 nucleotides) under Felis catus (domestic cat). Its description in RNAcentral is "lncRNA (ENSFCAG00000052825.1)". Lineage: Eukaryota; Metazoa; Chordata; Mammalia; Carnivora; Felidae. The record is from RNAcentral.